Molecule: ribosomal RNA, 308 nt
Filed under: uncultured eukaryote
Lineage: Eukaryota
Description: partial 18S ribosomal RNA
Rfam family: Eukaryotic small subunit ribosomal RNA
Source: RNAcentral
CCCUUAGACGUUCUGGGCCGCACGCGCGCUACACUGACGAAGGCAACGAGCUUUCCUUUACCGAAAGGUACGGGUAAUCUUUUGAAACUUCGUCGUGCUGGGGAUAGAUCCUUGCAAUUUUUGAUCUUAAACGAGGAAUUCCUAGUAAGCGCAAGUCAUCAACUUGCGUUGAUUACGUCCCUGCCAUUUGUACACACCGCCCGUCGCUACUACCGAUUGAAUGGUUUAGUGAGGCCUUCGGAUCCGCGACUCGUUUUGUGGAGAAGUUGGACAAACCCAGUCAUUUAGAGGAAGUAAAAGUCGUAACA